This is a long non-coding RNA of Triticum aestivum (bread wheat), 819 nucleotides long. RefSeq lists it as uncharacterized. The transcript is spliced from 3 exons. NCBI's taxonomy places the organism in Eukaryota, Viridiplantae, Streptophyta, Magnoliopsida, Poales, Poaceae. The record is from RefSeq and is a predicted model, not a curated record.
UGUUUUAUAGUUGCCGUCGUAUCACCUUAUCCAUUUGACCGCUUAUCCAUCUCUCCUCCUGUUUCAUUGGCGUCCAGCUGCGGCGGCGGCUCACAUGAAUAUGCGGCGGCGGCCAAGAGUAGCUCGGCCGGGACGCCCAUCUUCUCACCGGCCAAUGGCGCUGACGUGACUGACCAGUGACCAGGUUGUUUUUCGGCACGGUGCACUCACUUUAGUGGAGCCUUGUUCUUUUUCCGUUGAUAUUGAAUCCUGCUCCAAGUCUCUAACCGCAAGUAGCUGCUUUUGAAGUCCACCAAUCACAUGCGAGGUUAUGCCAGGAACCACCAGUCCACCACAGAUCUAGUAUGUGGGACGACAGGGUUGUAUCUCCUUGUACAGGGUGUGUGUCUUUGGAUACAUUACGUCGUCGUUGCCGCCGCCGCAGCCGUCCAUGUGCGGUGGAGCGGCCAUGGUGAAGUUUCAUGCAUGCGCGACGAGUGAUCCGACUCGCCCAAUCUCACCUGCAGCUGCAGUGUCGCAGCCCUCCCUCGGGUCUGCUCUCUCCCAAGUCUGCACACGCCAUGGAUAUAUGAUGUCAGAUUGAAGAACACAUGAUCAAUCACCAUGGAUCUCCUAGCUACCGAUGGUGCUUGUUUGAUCCACGCCCUAUAAUAUACUGCGUGCAUGCCAUUAAUUUGCUAGUACGUACACACGAGAAACAGUUGGCAGCUUCCUUUGCACCCAUAUAAUCAAGUCAUGUUUCUUAUUGAUGAUGAUGUAUAUAUUCCCUGCAAAAAUAAUGAUGAUGUAUAUGUACUCCUUCUGAUGCAUAUGAACUUA